RNAcentral lists this ribosomal RNA (505 nucleotides) under uncultured bacterium. RNAcentral's name for it is "partial 16S ribosomal RNA". It matches the Rfam family "Bacterial small subunit ribosomal RNA", at positions 28 to 507 of the family's 1533-position model. The record is from RNAcentral.
GACGAACGCUGGCGGCGUGCCUAAUACAUGCAAGUAGAACGCACAGUUUAUACCGUAGCUUGCUACACCAUAAACUGUGAGUUGCGAACGGGUGAGUAACGCGUAGGUAACCUGCCUGGUAGCGGGGGGUAACUAUUGGAAACGAUAGCUAAUACCGCAUAAUAUUAAUUAUUGCAUGAUAAUUGAUUGAAAGAUGCAAUUGCAUCACUACCAGAUGGACCUGCGUUGUAUUAGCUAGUAGGUGAGGUAACGGCUCACCUAGGCGACGAUACAUAGCCGACCUGAGAGGGUGAGCGGCCACACUGGGAGUGAGACACGGCACAGACUCACACGGGAGGCAGCAGUAGGGCAUCUUCGGCAAGGGACGAAAGUCUGACCGAGCAACGCCGCGUGAGGGAAGAAGGGUGUCGGAUCGUAAAGCUCUGUUGUAAGAGAAGAACGGGUGUGAGAGUGGAAAGUUCACACUGUGACGGUAUCUUACCAGAAAGGGACGGCUAACUACGUG